This 455-nucleotide ribosomal RNA is filed under the name uncultured Bradyrhizobium sp. Its description in RNAcentral is "bacterial SSU rRNA". It matches the Rfam family "Bacterial small subunit ribosomal RNA", at positions 930 to 1382 of the family's 1533-position model. The record is from RNAcentral. Lineage: Bacteria; Pseudomonadati; Pseudomonadota; Alphaproteobacteria; Hyphomicrobiales; Nitrobacteraceae.
CGGUGGAGCAUGUGGUUUAAUUCGACGCAACGCGCAGAACCUUACCAGCCCUUGACAUCCCGGUCGCGGUUUCCAGAGAUGGAUUCCUUCAGUUCGGCUGGACCGGAGACAGGUGCUGCAUGGCUGUCGUCAGCUCGUGUCGUGAGAUGUUGGGUUAAGUCCCGCAACGAGCGCAACCCCCGUCCUUAGUUGCUACCAUUUAGUUGAGCACUCUAAGGAGACUGCCGGUGAUAAGCCGCGAGGAAGGUGGGGAUGACGUCAAGUCCUCAUGGCCCUUACGGGCUGGGCUACACACGUGCUACAAUGGCGGUGACAAUGAGACGCUAAGGGGCAACCCUUCGCAAAUCUCAAAAAGCCGUCUCAGUUCGGAUUGGAGUCUGCAACUCGACUCCAUGAAGUUGGAAUCGCUAGUAAUCGUGGAUCAGCAUGCCACGGUGAAUACGUUCCCGGGCCUU